GAAUGCAACGCUGAGUGGAGCGUGGACCCCACGCUCAUUCACAGUGUGGAACUGAGCCCGGAGCGGAGAGCACUGUGCUGUGGGACGUCAGGGAGACCAACAGACAGAGUGAGGAAGUCUGCGGCUGCUCCGUCCGUGUUCCAGAUUGAUCCCAGAGCCCCCUGGGUGCCGAUUCUGUGGUGUUGGUCUCUCGAUGAUAAAAGACGUCUGAAUGCCCUGAGGAGCAGCAGCGUGCAAGGUCAAGACAGCGAAGACAGCGCUGCUCACAUUCCGCCCGUCCCAGUCACCCUGCACCACUUAUUCUCCAUGCUCAGUGCCAAGAAAUAAGACAUGCACCAUAUGCUCACCGCUCUCGGAGUCUGGGAUUCCACACACAUUGGCGGCGUUCGCACGCAGAGGGAGGUGUGAUCAUCACCGCCACCGGCCGCCUGUGUCUGUCCAUGGCCACCGCGGCCCUCCCCGGCCACAUCCAGCAGGCACAGAUGGUGUUGACGAUGUCAGAAUUCUAGACACAGAGCAUAUGUCCUCAAGCAGACAAGGUGCUAAAUUAAUUCUAAACACCCAUGGGGGCAGCAGAGGUGUGGACGAACCAACCAACCUGAUCCCAGGAUGGUGCCCAGGGAAAAGAGGUGGGCCCGGAGGAGCUCAGAUCCAGGGGAAAGCAUGGGCCUGGCCAGCAGCUUCAGGGAUUCCAGUGUUUCCCUCCCAGUGUCCAAAAGCCUGCAUCUAGCAGAGACUACAGGGAUGAUUGUUUUUCCCGUUUACCAGUCUGAGAAAGGACACACUUCAGCUUAGACAGCUACCACCGUCUGGGGUGAAUGGACAGAGGUACCUCUAGUGUAGAGAAGGCAUCUCACAAACUUGCAGGCCUAAAAGGUAGGUGGAGAAAUUCAUGACUGGUUGAAUUCCAAGAUUGUGGAUCCUGGAAAGAAGCUAUUCAUUCAAAAAUUAAGAGGAAUAUUUUUGACUCAAAUUUUUUUUUUGAGACAGGGUUUUACUGUACAGUAUAGGCUGACUUUGAACUCUUUUGUGUAGCCCAGGCUGGCCUUGAACUCAUGACAAUCCUCCUGCCUCAGCCUCCAAAUGCUAGAAUUAUAGGCGGGCACUACCACUCCCAGUUUGGACUCAACUGUCAAAAUUUUAAAAAAUUACAAAUUAUUAAUAUUUCUCACUUUCUUUCAUCAACUUGUUGAGAUCUAUGCUUUUCCUCCCUUUUUUCCUUUUCCUUCUUUUGUAUCUUUUUCCUCAUUUUAACUCUUUUUUUUCUUUAUCUUUCCUUUAUUUCUUGUAUUUUGCUCUCUUUGGGUUUUUUCCUUCUUGUCCUUGUGUGUCCUUUUUUGAAACUGUUUUCUAAUGCUAUUAAGUCCAUUUCACUCUUCAAUAGGCCAUCUCACUACUGACUCCCUCUUUUUGUCUUCCAUUGAUCAAUAUUUCAAAUUUUAAUUUUUUAUUUUUUUAGGGUAGGAUUUUUAAAAUUUUCACCUUAUAUAUUUAAACCAUUUAGAUUUAUCCAUAUAUUAUAUCUCAAAUCUUUCAUCUAAAAUAACUUUUGGGUAUUUUAUUUUUAAAAAGCAAACAAAAAAGGGUAGAAGUG
Long non-coding RNA from Cavia porcellus (domestic guinea pig), 1594 nucleotides. RefSeq lists it as uncharacterized. The record is from RefSeq and is a predicted model, not a curated record. The transcript has 3 exons. NCBI's taxonomy places the organism in Eukaryota, Metazoa, Chordata, Mammalia, Rodentia, Caviidae.